UACGUAGGGUGCGAGCGUUAAUCGGAAUUACUGGGCGUAAAGCGUGCGCAGGCGGUGGCUCAAGCCAGGCGUGAAAUCCCCGGGCUUAACCUGGGAAUGGCGUUUGGGACUGGGUCGCUAGAGUGUGGCAGAGGGAGGUGGAAUUCCACGUGUAGCAGUGAAAUGCGUAGAGAUGUGGAGGAACACCGGUGGCGAAGGCGGCUUCCUGGACCGACACUGACGCUGAGGCGCGAAAGCUAGGGGAGCAAACGGG
RNAcentral lists this ribosomal RNA (253 nucleotides) under uncultured bacterium. RNAcentral's name for it is "partial 16S ribosomal RNA". It matches the Rfam family "Bacterial small subunit ribosomal RNA", at positions 524 to 776 of the family's 1533-position model. The record is from RNAcentral.